Molecule: ribosomal RNA, 305 nt
Filed under: uncultured bacterium
Lineage: Bacteria
Description: partial 16S ribosomal RNA
Rfam family: Bacterial small subunit ribosomal RNA
Source: RNAcentral
ACAGCAGUCGCCACGGUAAUACGAGGGGGGCAAGCGUUGUUCGGAAUUAUUGGGCGUAAAGGGUGCGUAGGCGGUCUGAUAAGUCUGAUGUGAAAUCUAUGGGCUCAACCCAUAGUCUGCAUUAGAAACUGUCGGGCUUGAGUAUGGGAGAGGUGAGUGGAAUUUCCGGUGUAGCGGUGAAAUGCGUAGAUAUCGGAAGGAACACCUGUGGCGAAAGCGGCUCACUGGACCAUUACUGACGCUGAUGCACGAAAGCUAGGGGAGCAAACAGGAUUAGAUACCCCAGUAGUCCCUGUCUCUUAUAC